CUUGUGGCCAUAUCACAUUGAAACACCAGUUCUCACACAAUCACCAAAGUUAAGCAAUGUUGAGUCUGGUCAGUACCUGGAUAGUUAACCACUUAGAAAUACCAGGUGCUGUAAG
Molecule: non-coding RNA, 115 nt
Organism: Acanthosepion pharaonis
Lineage: Eukaryota; Metazoa; Mollusca; Cephalopoda; Sepiida; Sepiidae
Source: the annotation of a GenBank genome assembly